Molecule: ribosomal RNA, 417 nt
Filed under: uncultured bacterium
Lineage: Bacteria
Description: bacterial SSU rRNA
Rfam family: Bacterial small subunit ribosomal RNA
Source: RNAcentral
AACGAACGCUGGCGGCAUGCCUAACACAUGCAAGUCGAACGCGUGGCUUCGGCCACGAGUGGCGCACGGGUGAGUAACGCGUGGGAACCUGCCCAUCGGUACGGAACAACCGCGGGAAACUGCGGCUGAUACCGUAUAUACCCUGCGGGGGAAAGAUUUAUCGCCGAUGGAGGGCCGCGUCGGAUUAGGUAGUUGGUGGGGUAACGGCCUACCAAGCCUGCGAUCCGUAGCUGGUCUGAGAGGAUGAUCAGCCACACUGGGACUGAGACACGGCCCAGACUCCUACGGGAGGCAGCAGUGGGGAAUAUUGGACAAUGGGGGCGAACCCUGAUCCAGCAAUGCCGCGUGAGUGAAGAAGGCCUUAGGGUUGUAAAGCUCUUUCGGCGGGGACGAUGAUGACGGUACCCGCAGAAGAAG